CUUGUGUCUGUGUGAAGCAGAGCAUCAUGGUACAGGAAGCUUGUGUCUGUGUGAAGCAGAGCAUCAUGGUACAGGAAGCUUGUGUCUGUGUGAAGCAGAGCAUCAUGGUACAGGAAGCUUGUGUCUGUGUGAAGCAGAGCAUCAUGGUACAGGAAGCUUGUGUCUGUGUGAAGCAGAGCAUCAUAGUACAGGAAGCUUGUGUCUGUGUGAAGCAGAGCAUCAUGGUACAGGAAGCUGUGGCAGAGUGAUUAUCCCCAUGAGCUGGAUGCAUGAAGGCUCUUCAAAGGCACGCCUGAAUGAGAGCUUCCUCCAGCUAGGCUCCUCCCAAAGUUUCCCCCAUCUUCUAAAAUAGUGCCACCAGUUGGUGACUUGAGCCAGAUCCUCUGUGAGGACAGCGGUUGGUGACAAGAGCCAUCAGAGCAAGGGGCAGGCUGACAGGAGUGAGGGCACAGUGGAGUCAGCCCAAUGGGGCUCAUUAGCUCAGCGUUCUUCAUCAUGGCUGGAGGCCUUGAUCUUUACUAGAAAAUUCCACACAGUCUCAAGUGCUGAGCAAAAUCAACCAGAUUCUAUUGCUAGGAAGGCAGAGUCCUGAGGAUGGCCCCUUUGGGCGGCAAGACCCCGUGAAUGUCAUGCACAACUUGGAGAAAGUAACCCAAGUGGCACACACUGGAGCCUAAGCAAAUUGCCCAGAAAUCAACUGGCUGCAGCACAAACUAAUUGAAUCUCCACAGAAAGUACCCUUCCUGGCCACACCGUCCCUCCACAACGAAGAAAUAAGUAAAUUAAACUGAGUGUAUACAAGAUCUGGAUGUAGAACUCUCAGCUCCUUCUCCGGCAACAUGUCUAGCCGCAUGCUGCUAUGCCCCCGCCCUGAUGGCAAUGGACUAAACCUCAGAAACUGUAAGUCAG
This is a long non-coding RNA of Mus musculus (house mouse), 909 nucleotides long. RefSeq annotates it as predicted gene, 36252. The transcript is spliced from 4 exons. The record is from RefSeq and is a predicted model, not a curated record. Lineage: Eukaryota; Metazoa; Chordata; Mammalia; Rodentia; Muridae.